RNAcentral lists this ribosomal RNA (497 nucleotides) under uncultured bacterium. Its description in RNAcentral is "partial 16S ribosomal RNA". It matches the Rfam family "Bacterial small subunit ribosomal RNA", at positions 28 to 507 of the family's 1533-position model. The record is from RNAcentral.
GAUGAACGCUGGCGGCGUGCCUAAUACAUGCAAGUCGAGCGAACAGAUGAGGAGCUUGCUCCUCUGACGUUAGCGGCGGACGGGUGAGUAACACGUGGAUAACCUACCUAUAAGACUGGGAUAACUUCGGGAAACCGGAGCUAAUACCGGAUAAUAUAUUGAACCGCAUGGUUCAAUAGUGAAAGACGGUUUUGCUGUCACUUAUAGAUGGAUCCGCGCCGCAUUAGCUAGUAGGUAAGGUAACGGCUUACCAAGGCGACGAUGCGUAGCCGACCUGAGAGGGUGAUCGGCCACACUGGAACUGAGACACGGUCCAGACUCCUACGGGAGGCAGCAGUAGGGAAUCUUCCGCAAUGGGGGAAAGCCUGACGGAGCAACGCCGCGUGAGUGAUGAAGGUCUUCGGAUCGUAAAACUCUGUUAUUAGGGAAGAACAAAUGUGUAAGUAACUAUGCACGUCUUGACGGUACCUAAUCAGAAAGCCACGGCUAACUACGUG